CAAGUGCUCUGCUGAGCUGCUAACGUCUAUAUUGAACAUGGCGUCGUAGCGGCUAGUCAUGUCACGACAGUCCAUCAUGGUAGUCUUUUCUUUUUGUAGGUGAAAUUGAAUGAUGGAGAAACUGCAAAUGCUGGGGGACAUCUUGUAUGAACGAUGUGGUCUGGUUAACAUGUUGCCCAGGUGACCAUGUAUUACCAUCGAGUGUAUUUAAAAUGUACCAUUUACUUGUAGGAGGUUGUGGAUUUGUCCUCAGUUUUCCGGAUACCAGCACCCUGAUUCUUGAGGACUACUCUACUUUGUUCUGGGCGACCUACACGAACAUCUGUAUCUGAUUUUGAAGAAAUUAGAUUGAUGGUCUCUGACAACAUAUAGGUGAAACAGGCUCAAUGCAGAAUGUUCUCCAAGCUGCUUCUUCAGCCGCAUAUUUUGGCAUAGCUCACCUUUUCCGAGCUAGCAGCAUCACUCCUCUAAUCAGCACUAGCUUCGGAGAAAUUCAUAUUUUUUCAUUAGGAUUUGUUUUCUUUGCCAUAAAAGAGAAUAAUAUCUAGUACUUUGUUUUGUAGGGGAAAGAUAAUAAAGCUGCUCAACCGUAUGCUGCUAUCCUGGAACUUCAGUCCCAAUUAUUGGAAUCAGUUUUGCAAGGUUUCGCUUUACUUAACUGCUACAAUCCACCCCUGACUGUGGUGAUAACAGAAGACAGGAUCGAUGAAUCUAAAUGGGAAAGACAUUUAAGUCCUAGCUUCAGCACAUCGUCUUUGGAUCAUUUGGAGGCUCCCCCUAAACUGCUUUUUGACAUUAAAUGCUGUUGCUUCCCAUACCUUAAGAAUGCUGUCCAAACGGAUCAACAGCCGAAUGAGAGGAAUCCUUUAACUUUGGUGUUGGAACAAUCCUUGUCAUUGCUCCUGUCUCAAGCUCUGUUGUACAUCCUCGAUCCACGUAUGUGCCCUCAAGAAAAACAACUGCUCAAGGAGAGAACUUGGUGCCGAGCUGGGCAGCUUUGUCGAAUCGAUAAGGCGGCAGGUUCAAAGGAGUUUACGCUCUCCGGCCAGUAUAUCCUCUUAAGCCACGGUCUAUCAUUUCAACAGUGAAUCAAGAUUCCCUUAAACGUGUAAGACACAUUGUUCAAUGCUUUUUCAAAUAGCUGGCUCAAGAGAGCCAGAAAUUCACUAAUGUAUUUAAAGCAUGAUCAUUAAACUUUUGAAGUUUCGAUAUAAUAUUCUAA
Molecule: long non-coding RNA, 1222 nt
Organism: Daphnia carinata
Lineage: Eukaryota; Metazoa; Arthropoda; Branchiopoda; Diplostraca; Daphniidae
Exons: 2
Source: RefSeq, a predicted model, not a curated record